Potamilus streckersoni is the source of this 73-nucleotide non-coding RNA. The record is from the annotation of a GenBank genome assembly. NCBI's taxonomy places the organism in Eukaryota, Metazoa, Mollusca, Bivalvia, Unionida, Unionidae.
GCUCCGGUGGCCUAGUGGUUACAGCGUCCGACUCCGGUGCAGGAGGUCGUGGGUUCAAUCCCCGGUCGAGUCA